This 2859-nucleotide ribosomal RNA is filed under the name Spirostomum sp. Valltjaern. Its description in RNAcentral is "bacterial LSU rRNA". It matches the Rfam family "Bacterial large subunit ribosomal RNA". The record is from RNAcentral. Lineage: Eukaryota; Ciliophora; Heterotrichea; Heterotrichida; Spirostomidae.
UCAAGCGAACAAGCGCAUACGGCGGAUGCCUAGGCGGUGGGAGGCGAAGAAGGGCGUGGCAGCCUGCGAUAAACCCCGGAGAGGCGGCAAGCGGCCUGCGACCCGGGGGUGCCCGAAUGGGGAAACCCGCCCAGUUUACUGGGUAUCCCGGCCUGAAUCCAUAGGGCCGGGAGGCGAACCGGGGGAACUGAAACAUCUAAGUACCCCGAGGAAAAGAAAUCAACCGAGAUUCCCGAAGUAGCGGCGAGCGAACCGGGAGCAGCCCUUAAGCGGCGCGGGGGGUAGUGGAACGGUCUGGAAAGUCCGGCCAUAGGGGGUGAGAGUCCCGUACACGAAACCUUUCGCGGCGUGAAGACGAGUAGGGCGGGGCACGUGAAACCCUGUCCGAACAUGGGGGGACCAUCCUCCAAGGCUAAAUACUCCCCACCGACCGAUAGUGAACCAGUACCGUGAGGGAAAGGCGAAAAGAACCGCGGCGAGCGGAGUGAAAUAGAACCUGAAACCGUAUGCGUACAAGCAGUGGGAGCCCCCUUGUGGGGUGACUGCGUACCUUUUGUAUAAUGGGUCAGCGACUUACUUUCAGUGGCGAGCUUAACCGGAUAGGGGAGGCGCAGCGAAAGCGAGUCUGAACAGGGCGAUUCAGUCGCUGGGAGUAGACCCGAAACCGGGCGAUCUAUCCAUGACCAGGGUGAAGGCUAGGUAAAGCUGGCUGGAGGCCCGAACCGGGAUCUGUUGAAAAAGAUUCGGAUGAGUUGUGGAUCGGAGUGAAAGGCUAAUCAAGCCCGGAGAUAGCUGGUUCUCCCCGAAAGCUAUUUAGGUAGCGCCUCGUGUAUCACUCCCGGGGGUAGAGCACUGUUUCGGCUAGGGGGCCAUCCCGGCCUACCAAACCGAUGCAAACUCCGAAUACCGGGAAGUGCGAGCACGGGAGACACACGGCGGGUGAUAACGUCCGUCGUGAAGAGGGAAACAACCCAGACCGCCAGCUAAGGCCCCAAAAUCAUGGCUCAGUGGAAAACGAUGUGGGAAGGCCCAGACAGCCAGGAGGUUGGCUUAGAAGCAGCCAUCCUUUAAAGAAAGCGUAAUAGCUCACUGGUCGAGUCGGCCUGCGCGGAAGAUUCAACGGGGCUCAAGCCAUGUGCCGAAGCUGCGGAUUUGGCCUCAGGGCCGAGUGGUAGGGGAGCGUUCCGUAGGCCGUUGAAGGCGGGUUGUAAAGCCCGUUGGAGGCAUCGGAAGUGCGAAUGCUGACAUAAGUAACGACAAAAUGGGUGAAAAACCCAUUCGCCGAAAGCCCAAGGUUUCCUGCGCAACGCUAAUCGGCGCAGGGUCAGUCGGCGCCUAAGGCGAGGCCGAAAGGCGUAGUCGAUGGGAAACGGGUUAACAUUCCCGUACCUGCCGCAACUGCGACGGGGUGACGGAGAAGGCUAGGCGGUCCGGCGGUUGGUAGUGCCGGUCCAAGCGUGUAGGGAGGCCCCUUUGGCAAAUCCGGGGGGCCAAUCCUGAGGCGCGAGCGCGAGCCCGCGUGCGGGCGAAGCCGCCGAUGCCAUGCUUCCAAGAAAAACCUCUAAGCUUCAGGUUGCGGGAGGCCGUACCGGAAACCGACACAGGUGGGCAGGGUGAGAAUCCCCAGGCGCUUGAGAGAACCCGGGUGAAGGAACUAGGCAAAAUGAUACCGUAACUUCGGGAGAAGGUAUGCCCCCGGGGGUGGAGCCCCUAGCGGGCCGAGCCUCCGGGGGCCGCAGAGAAACGGUGGCUGCGACUGUUUAUUAAAAACACAGCACUCUGCCAACACGAAAGUGGACGUAUAGGGUGUGACGCCUGCCCGGUGCCGGAAGGUUAAUUGAUGGGGUCAGCGCGAGCGAAGCCCUUGAUCGAAGCCCCGGUAAACGGCGGCCGUAACAAUAACGGUCCUAAGGUAGCGAAAUUCCUUGUCGGGUAAGUUCCGACCUGCACGAAUGGCGUAACGAUGGCCACACUGUCUCCACCCGGGACUCAGUGAAAUUGAACUCGCUGUGAAGAUGCAGCGUACCCGCGGCUAGACGGAAAGACCCCGUGAACCUUUACUGCAGCUUUGCACUGGACUUUGAACCGGCUUGUGUAGGAUAGGCGGGAGGCGAUGAAACCCGGACGCCAGUCCGGGCGGAGCCGACCUUGAAAUACCGCCCUGGCCUGUUUGGAGUUCUAACCCAGCCCCGUGAACCCGGGGCGGGGACCGUGCAUGGUGGGCAGUUUGACUGGGGCGGUCUCCUCCCAAAGAGUAACGGAGGAGCACGAAGGUGCGUUCAGCGCGGUCGGAAAUCGCGCACAGAGUGUAAAGGCGUAAACGCGCUUGACUGCGAGGCCGACACGCCGAGCAGGUGCGAAAGCAGGUCUUAGUGAUCCGGUGGUUCCGAAUGGAAGGGCCAUCGCUCAACGGAUAAAAGGUACUCCGGGGAUAACAGGCUGAUACCGCCCAAGAGUUCAUAUCGACGGCGGUGUUUGGCACCUCGAUGUCGGCUCAUCACAUCCUGGGGCUGUAGCCGGUCCCAAGGGUAUGGCUGUUCGCCAUUUAAAGUGGUACGUGAGCUGGGUUUAGAACGUCGUGAGACAGUUCGGUCCCUAUCUGCCGCGGGCGUUGGAGGCUUGAGGGAAGCUGCCCCUAGUACGAGAGGACCGGGGUGGACGGACCGCUGGUGUUCCGGUUGUGAUGCCAAUCGCAUUGCCGGGUAGCUACGUCCGGACGGGAUAACCGCUGAAAGCAUCUAAGCGGGAAGCCCCUCCCGAGAUGAGGCCUCCCUGGGGCUUGAAGCCCCCUGAAGGGCCCUGGAAGACCACCAGGUUGAUAGGCCGGGUGUGGAAGCGCGGCGACGCGCGCAGCUAACC